UCUCCGUUGGUGAACCAGCGGAGGGAUCAUUAUCGAGUUUAUAACUCCCAAACCCUAUGUGAACUUACCACUUGUUGCUUCGGCGCGCGCUUCGGCGCCGCCGAGGACACUUAAACUCUUUGUUUUUAUAAGCAUUUCUGAGUGGCCGAAAGGCAAAAUACAAAUGAAUCAAAACUUUCAACAACGGAUCUCUUGGUUCU
This 200-nucleotide unclassified non-coding RNA is filed under the name plant metagenome. Its description in RNAcentral is "partial contains small subunit ribosomal RNA, internal transcribed spacer 1, and 5.8S ribosomal RNA". The record is from RNAcentral.